RNAcentral lists this ribosomal RNA (540 nucleotides) under Candidozyma auris. Its description in RNAcentral is "LSU rRNA". It matches the Rfam family "Eukaryotic large subunit ribosomal RNA", at positions 49 to 658 of the family's 3401-position model. Lineage: Eukaryota; Fungi; Ascomycota; Pichiomycetes; Serinales; Metschnikowiaceae. The record is from RNAcentral.
AGCGGAGGAAAAGAAACCAACAGGGAUUGCCUCAGUAACGGCGAGUGAAGCGGCAAGAGCUCAACUUUGGAAUCGCUCCGGCGAGUUGUAGUCUGGAGGUGGCCACCACGAGGUGUUCUAGCAGCAGGCAAGUCCUUUGGAACAAGGCGCCAGCGAGGGUGACAGCCCCGUACCUGCUUUUGCUAGUGCUUCCUGUGGCCCACCGACGAGUCGAGUUGUUUGGGAAUGCAGCUCUAAGUGGGUGGUAAAUUCCAUCUAAGGCUAAAUAUUGGCGAGAGACCGAUAGCGAACAAGUACAGUGAUGGAAAGAUGAAAAGCACUUUGAAAAGAGAGUGAAACAGUACGUGAAAUUGUUGAAAGGGAAGGGCUUGCACCCAGACACGGUUUCGGCCGGGCCAGCAUCAAGUAGAACGGGGUUAAAAGACUUGGGGAAUGUAGCUACUUCGGUAGUGUUAUAGCCCUUGGUGAUGACCCCUGUUUUGCUUGAGGACAGCGGUCUCUAGGAUGCUGGCGCAAUGGUUGCAAGCCACCCGUCUUGAA